RNAcentral lists this unclassified non-coding RNA (387 nucleotides) under soil metagenome. RNAcentral describes it as "partial contains 5.8S ribosomal RNA, internal transcribed spacer 2, and large subunit ribosomal RNA". The stretch from base 1 to 122 matches the Rfam family "5.8S ribosomal RNA", at positions 35 to 154 of the family's 154-position model. The record is from RNAcentral.
GAUGAAGAAUGUAGCGAAAUGCGAUAAGUAAUGUGAAUUGCAGAAUUCAGUGAAUCAUCGAAUCUUUGAACGCACCUUGCACCCUUUGGACUGCUCCAAAGGGUAUGCUCGUUUGAGUGUCAUUGUACUCUCACACUCUCUGAUCCUUUGGAUUUGGGGAGCAGUGGACUUGGGUGCUUGCUGCUUCCUUGUGGCUCACCUGAAAUGCAUCAGUGCAUCUCUCGAUUGGACAUAGUACGGCGUGAUAAGUGUCUUCGCCGGCACCUCAUAUGAGGGUGGCCGAUCGGGAGCUCUGUGCUUUCAAACCGUCUUCGGACAACGCUGACAACUUGACCUCAAAUCGAGUAGGACUACCCGCUGAACUUAAGCAUAUCAAUAAGCGGAGGA